GGCCGAGCUGGUCGACCCGGCGGGCGAGGCCGGCGUGCGAGAAGCCGGACUCCUCGAUGAGCGCGGCGAGUUGCGGGUUCUGGGCGCGCCCGGCCGC
This 97-nucleotide transfer RNA is filed under the name Kitasatospora phosalacinea. RNAcentral describes it as "tRNA-Ser". Lineage: Bacteria; Bacillati; Actinomycetota; Actinomycetes; Kitasatosporales; Streptomycetaceae. The record is from RNAcentral.